RNAcentral lists this long non-coding RNA (1615 nucleotides) under Lathyrus oleraceus (garden pea). Its description in RNAcentral is "Pisum sativum (pea) long non-coding RNA (PSAT_LNC030894)". Lineage: Eukaryota; Viridiplantae; Streptophyta; Magnoliopsida; Fabales; Fabaceae. The record is from RNAcentral.
UAAAAGAAAAUAUUUAUUAAAUUAAUUGCAACAUUAAAUUAAAUUUAAAAACGUGGUGGCAUUUUUUUAUAAGGAAUCGAACCCAGGUUGUAUUAGUACCAAAAUAAAACAACCGCCCCUCAACUACACUAUAAUAAUAUAUUAAAAUAGAAUUAGUGAUAUAUAUUUUCGUUAGUAUUAUAUUUAUAUUGACCCUAUCUAUCAAAUUCGAGACCCUAAAAAAUCGGAGGCCCUGUGCCGUGCGGUAGCACUUCUCGCACCCCACAGGGCCGGGCCUGGUCAUUACAAAAUAUACUUAAAAGUUAUACUAGAAGUAAAAGAUCACAAGUUCUUCAUCUUUUUACUUUAGACCAUUUAAGUCUUUCCUAGCCACAUCUUUCAUCACCACACCAAGCAUAAGUCCUGCAACAACGAUAUGUGCCAGAUUAAUGCGCCACCAACUAUUUCACAAAAGCAAGCCCGACCAAAACCUAACCAUUUUCAACAAAAUAAUAUGCAGUUUUAGUCACAAGUAGUUAACCCAUUUUCACCAAGGCAUUAGAACAUAAGUUCAUAUGAAUUCCAAAUCAGUUCAUGAUAACUAAGCAUUGGAGUGAGUAAUAUUCCAAUAGUUCCUAACCUAUCAUUGAAGGAAACCACCCAAGAGCAUGACAUCAAAGAAUGCACCAGUAGCAGACUAAGAGUAACAUCAACAACUGAAUCUAACAAAUAGUGGAACUUAAUAGCAUGAAAUUCUUCAGCUUAACAUCGCCACGUCACGAGCAAAAUCGAUAAAUAUUAGCAAUAAACAAAAAUUACCACAUUUAGUAGCAAUAGCUGCCUGCGUAAUUAGUUCACAACAGUAGUGCACGACGAGGGUAGUAAACAACCUGCAGAAACACUCCAAAUUGAUUAACAGAAUUCCAGAUUUGCAUAAGUAAACUCUACUAGCUUCAUUAAUAGACCUAUGACAGAAUUUUUCAUUUCUCACUAUAACUACUUAACAGAUUUUUUCAUGACAGCAAAAGUCAUUUUAUAAUUUCAUACAUUUCGCUCACAUUUCAUUUGAAUUUCAUUGCUGUCUUAACUGAAGUUAAAACUAACCUAUAACAUAAUUUCUAGUUAACAGAAAACGCAGUAAAGUUCACUCCAUUGUGAAUUUGCAUUUCAUAACAGAAAUAUAACUCAAUUUCAAUUUCAUUUUCAUUUAGAAUUUCAUUUCACUUUCAUUUCAUUUGAGUUUGAAUGUCACUAACUUCCUAAUAGAAUUCGCAAUUGAAUCUCAAACCAUCUAACACAAAUAAGCAACUUCCAUUUUCAUUUUAAAUUCCAAGUUCUAACAAAAUAACAGAACCAACCGAUUUCAUUUUUCACAAGUGGAAUUUCUAACAGAAUCUAAAACUAAAUUUCUAACUAACUUAUUCAUGUGAGGUGCAUUCCAAACUAACUUCUAAUUUCACUUGAAUUUCAUGUGAGUUUUUACCGGAUCCUAACCAAAAGAUAAAGGCCUAUAUAUAUUUAUCUCUUGACUCAAUCCUCAGGUGGUUGCUACCUCAUUCUUCACUCUCCAAAUCUCUGCAUCUUCACUCUUCACGACCAAUCUCCAUUAUGAAACUUGGAAGUCUCAUUCCGCAAU